AGAGUUUGAUCCUGGCUCAGAUUGAACGCUGGCGGAAUGCUUUACACAUGCAAGUCGAACGGCAGCACGGGGGCAACCCUGGUGGCGAGUGGCGAACGGGUGAGUAAUACAUCGGAACGUGCCCAGUCGUGGGGGAUAACGCAGCGAAAGCUGUGCUAAUACCGCAUACGAUCUACGGAUGAAAGCGGGGGACUCGCAAGGGCCUCGCGCGAUUGGAGCGGCCGAUGGCAGAUUAGGUAGUUGGUGGGGUAAAGGCUCACCAAGCCUGCGAUCUGUAGCUGGUCUGAGAGGACGACCAGCCACACUGGGACUGAGACACGGCCCAGACUCCUACGGGAGGCAGCAGUGGGGAAUUUUGGACAAUGGG
This 367-nucleotide ribosomal RNA is filed under the name uncultured bacterium. RNAcentral describes it as "bacterial SSU rRNA". It matches the Rfam family "Bacterial small subunit ribosomal RNA", at positions 8 to 375 of the family's 1533-position model. The record is from RNAcentral.